RNAcentral lists this ribosomal RNA (253 nucleotides) under uncultured bacterium. RNAcentral describes it as "partial 16S ribosomal RNA". It matches the Rfam family "Bacterial small subunit ribosomal RNA", at positions 524 to 776 of the family's 1533-position model. The record is from RNAcentral.
GACGUAGGGGGCGAGCGUUGCCCGGAUUCACUGGGCGUAAAGCGCGUGUAGGCGGUCUGUUAAGUCGGAUGUGAAAGCUCCGGACUCAACUCGGAAAUUGCAUCCGAUACUGGCAGACUUGAGGACGGUAGAGGUCGGUGGAAUACCAGGUGUACCGGUGAAAUGGGCAGAUAUCUGGUGGAACACCAGUGGCGAAGGCGGCCGACUGGGCCGAUCCUGACGCUGAGACGCGAAAGCCAGGGUAGCGAACCGG